UGGACCAAUGAUGACGAUCGUGACGGGAAGAGUCCUGAACGAUGAAAACAUGUCUGAAACUCUGAGGUCCAG
Molecule: small nucleolar RNA, 72 nt
Organism: Monodon monoceros (narwhal)
Lineage: Eukaryota; Metazoa; Chordata; Mammalia; Artiodactyla; Monodontidae
Source: Ensembl